GAUGUACUCCCUCCGUCCGGAAAUACUUGUCAUCAAAAUGGCUAAAAGAAAGAUGCAUCUAGACGUAUUUUAGUUCUAGAUACAUCCUUUUUUAUCCAUUUUGAUG
Molecule: non-coding RNA, 106 nt
Organism: Triticum urartu
Lineage: Eukaryota; Viridiplantae; Streptophyta; Magnoliopsida; Poales; Poaceae
Source: Rfam